Molecule: transfer RNA, 76 nt
Filed under: Microcoleus sp.
Lineage: Bacteria; Bacillati; Cyanobacteriota; Cyanophyceae; Oscillatoriales; Microcoleaceae
Also listed under: 6 other names
Description: tRNA-Asp
Rfam family: tRNA
About the family: Transfer RNA (tRNA) molecules are approximately 80 nucleotides in length. Their secondary structure includes four short double-helical elements and three loops (D, anti-codon, and T loops).
Source: RNAcentral
GGGCUCGUAGUGAAGUGGUUAUCACGCCUCCCUGUCACGGAGGAGAUCGCCGGUUCAAAUCCGGUCGAGCCCGCCA